This 530-nucleotide ribosomal RNA is filed under the name uncultured bacterium. RNAcentral's name for it is "bacterial SSU rRNA". It matches the Rfam family "Bacterial small subunit ribosomal RNA", at positions 980 to 1509 of the family's 1533-position model. The record is from RNAcentral.
CUUGACAUCCAGCGAAUUCGGUAGAGAUACCUUAGUGCCUUCGGGAACGCUGAGACAGGUGCUGCAUGGCUGUCGUCAGCUCGUGUUGUGAAAUGUUGGGUUAAGUCCCGCAACGAGCGCAACCCUUUAUCCUUUGUUGCCAGCGGUCCGGCCGGGAACUCAAAGGAGACUGCCAGUGAUAAACUGGAGGAAGGUGGGGAUGACGUCAAGUCAUCAUGGCCCUUACGAGUAGGGCUACACACGUGCUACAAUGGCGCAUACAAAGAGAAGCGACCUCGCGAGAGCAAGCGGACCUCAUAAAGUGCGUCGUAGUCCGGAUUGGAGUCUGCAACUCGACUCCAUGAAGUCGGAAUCGCUAGUAAUCGUAGAUCAGAAUGCUACGGUGAAUACGUUCCCGGGCCUUGUACACACCGCCCGUCACACCAUGGGAGUGGGUUGCAAAAGAAGUAGGUAGCUUAACCUUCGGGAGGGCGCUUACCACUUUGUGAUUCAUGACUGGGGUGAAGUCGUAACAAGGUAAGCGUACGUGU